GACGAACGCUGGCGGCGUGCUUAACACAUGCAAGUCGAACGGAAAGGCCUCUUUCGGGGGGUACUCGAGUUGCGAACGGGUGAGUAACACGUGAGUAGCUUGCCCUUGUCUUUGGGAUAACUUCAGGAAACUGGGGCUAAUACCGGCUAGGAGCUCCUGCUGCAUGGUGGGGGCUGGAAAGUUUCGGCGGUUGGGGCUGGAUUGGCGGGGUAUCAGCUUGUUGGUGGGGAAGUGGCUUACCAAGGCCUUGACGGGUAGCCGGCCUGAGAGGGUGACCGGCGGCCCUGGGUCUUAGAGACGGCAGAGGCUCGGACGGGAGGCAGCAGGGGGGAAUCUUGCACGAGGGGUGGAGGGUUGAUGCAGCAGCGCUGCGGGCGGGAUGACGGUGUUCGGGUGGUAGACCGCUUGUGCUCAUGACGAAGCUUUGUGUGACGGUAGUGGGUAAAGAAGCACCGGCUAACUACGUG
This 467-nucleotide ribosomal RNA is filed under the name uncultured bacterium. RNAcentral's name for it is "partial 16S ribosomal RNA". It matches the Rfam family "Bacterial small subunit ribosomal RNA", at positions 28 to 507 of the family's 1533-position model. The record is from RNAcentral.